CGGCGGACGGGUGAGUAACGCGUGGGUAACCGUGCCUCAUACAGGGGGAUAACAGUUGGAAACGGCUGCUAAUACCGCAUAAGCGCACAGUACCGCAUGGUACCGUGUGAAAAACUCCGGUGGUAUGAGAUGGACCCGCGUCUGAUUAGCUAGUUGGUGGGGUAACGGCCUACCAAGGCGACGAUCAGUAGCCGACCUGAGAGGGUGACCGGCCACAUUGGGACUGAGACACGGCCCAA
This 239-nucleotide ribosomal RNA is filed under the name uncultured bacterium. Its description in RNAcentral is "partial 16S ribosomal RNA". It matches the Rfam family "Bacterial small subunit ribosomal RNA", at positions 96 to 334 of the family's 1533-position model. The record is from RNAcentral.